AAUCAACGCUGGCGGCGUGCUUAACACAUGCAAGUCGAGCGGUAAGGCCCUUUCGGGGGUACACGAGCGGCGAACGGGUGAGUAACACGUGGGUGACCUGCCCUUAGCUCUGGGAUAAGCCUGGAAAACUGGGUCUAAUACCGGAUAUGACUCCAUGACGCAUGUUGUGGGGUGGAAAGCCUUGUGCGGCUGGGGAUGGGCCCGCGGCCUAUCAGCUUGUUGGUGGGUGAUGGCCUACCAAGGCGA
This 246-nucleotide ribosomal RNA is filed under the name uncultured Actinomycetes bacterium. RNAcentral's name for it is "uncultured actinobacterium partial 16S ribosomal RNA". It matches the Rfam family "Bacterial small subunit ribosomal RNA", at positions 32 to 276 of the family's 1533-position model. The record is from RNAcentral. Lineage: Bacteria; Bacillati; Actinomycetota; Actinomycetes.